UACGUAGGGUCCGAGCGUUGUCCGGAAUUACUGGGCGUAAAGAGCUCGUAGGUGGUUUGUCGCGUUGUUCGUGAAAACUCACAGCUCAACUGUGGGCGUGCGGGCGAUACGGGCAGACUUGAGUACUGCAGGGGAGACUGGAAUUCCUGGUGUAGCGGUGGAAUGCGCAGAUAUCAGGAGGAACACCGGUGGCGAAGGCGGGUCUCUGGGCAGUAACUGUCGCUGAGGAGCGAAAGCGUGGGGAGCGAACAGG
This 253-nucleotide ribosomal RNA is filed under the name uncultured bacterium. RNAcentral describes it as "partial 16S ribosomal RNA". It matches the Rfam family "Bacterial small subunit ribosomal RNA", at positions 524 to 776 of the family's 1533-position model. The record is from RNAcentral.